Molecule: long non-coding RNA, 3620 nt
Filed under: Homo sapiens (human)
Lineage: Eukaryota; Metazoa; Chordata; Mammalia; Primates; Hominidae
Description: non-protein coding lnc-ANKRD26-1:3
Source: RNAcentral
UUAACAUGAGGAUGUCUGGGAGGACUGAUUCCUAAGAGAUCCAGUGGCUCUGAUUAGGUUUUUUCUUCAGAGGAACAUAAUUAGGGUCUAAUCUCACCCAACAGGUCAGCCCCUCCUGCGCCUUGAGCCCCUGCCACACAGAUUCAGGUAGCCACGACAUGAGUGGACCAAACUAGUUCAGGGAGUAAUUGCCCUGGAAAGCUAGGUCCACAAGCAGAACCCAUUGGGUCUGACACACUCCUUGAAUUGGUUAAAUUCAAAGGAAAACUCUGAAUUCUGGGGAACAAGGCCUCUAAGUUGGCUUAAGCCUCUGCAGCUGCAGAACAUGAAGUUCUACCCUUAGAAACUCCCGCUGGGUAUAUGCAAAAUACUUAUGGUAAAUCAUUCAAAUAUUUAGUCAAGUGGAUGUUGAGUUCUAAUUAGGGAUAAGAAGUCAGGCUGGUGGGAGCAGGAGAAAGCAAGAACAAAAACCAAAUAAGCCAUAAAUCUGCCUUUUUUUCGUGGUCCAGGACACACAGCCCUACUGCGCAAAUAAGUCACAAUCUUCCUGCACCCAGCUGUCACCAGACAUCUUAACUAAUCAAAAAGAACACGUAAGUUAGCUCACUGCAACCUUGCUGUUAUCAGUAUUGCACACAGCCCUCUUCAGCACACAGCACAAAGACCAUCCUAUAAAAUCCUCAGGAUGCCUUUGUCUCCUUGCAGUUAGCUCCUCUUUUGCUGACUUGCCUGUUGCUUUUUUGAAACACAUUUCCCUACUUUGUCUAAUAAAUCUGCCUUUUAAAAAUCUGCAACCAUUUUGGUAAGUAUUUUUUACCACCCAUGCAACAUCAGCCCCAGAUAGUCAAUACCUGUGACAGUGGCCCAUUAUAACCACAGAGGUUCUAACUUAACAGUGGCCUAGAUGGGGAUCAUCUGAGAUGCCCAAAUUAGUGUACCUGGGAACUAGGAUGGAAAAUGCAUGCACAAAAACUCAACAGCCAGAAUGGGAGAGCUACUUUCAGUGGUACCUAGAGAGGUAGCAAAAAGGGGGAAGACUGCCUCACCUCCUUACAGGAGGCCAACAAACAACUUAGAGAUACUAACUGAUAACUCUCUAGUGCUUUAUCUCUCUUAAAGAAAUCUUCAGAAUUGCUUACAUCCCCCUUGGUUCUUCCCCCACCUCCAGGUACAUCCCCAGCUUACUCCGACCUCUCUGAACUUCCUGGACCAGAUCUGUUUCCUCUGCCUGCAUGCUCUAGCCUACCAUCUUCCUCUCCUUGUCUGCUACUCACUCAACAGAAGGCAACAGGGUGGUCUACUUCUACAACUCCGUCUCCUGAUGAUUUCACAACAGUCUCCCUGGCAGCCUUUCAUCUGGAAGAAGUGGAAAAGGGGGAACCUGUAGGAACAUCUCUCAUGAUCACACCAUAUAGGGAAUGACCAGUAACAGGUAGGGAAACCCCAGUGAUGGUCUUUCAAACCUGGUCAAAGGCUGAGCUAGGAGGCAAAGUUAAAAAAUUUCCUGACUCCCAUAAAGAUUUGCCCAAGAAUUUGAGCUCAUUGUCAGGUCACUCGUCAUAUGGCCCGUGUCAUUCAGACCCUUACCAGCUGUUCCACAUGUUGGUUUUGGAUGCUAAAGCUAAGGAAUGGCUGGAAAAAGCACAGUGGUCAGACCAUUUAGCAGAGUCAAUUUCCAAAGGUCCAAUAGGAUGACAACAAGUCCCCAAAAGUUCAGAAGACAGGCUCAAAGAUGCCAAGGCAUGAGCCACUGCUCUGUUAAUUAUAAUUCCUUCAGCAUUCCAAAGGUUUGUGGAUUGGAAUAAAAUCCAGCAAUGCCACCAGAACCCAAAGGAAUUAGUUUGAGAUUAUUUUUCAUGUUUUGAUAAAACUUUGAGACAAUAUUAUGGGAUGUCAGCUGAUUGCCUUGAGAACAAUAAAAAUGGCGCUUAUUAAAUGCAAACUUUCAAAACAGACCAGAUGAUGAUUUAGCCACUCUUGUAAAACACCACAUAACAAAUUGGGCCAUGGUCAGAACUAAGGAACUAGUUAACUUAGCUGACCAAUUAUCCUGUGCUAUGAUAAAGGAAAAAAAAAACAAAAGACUGCCAGAGUUAUGCAUUUAUAGUUAAAGCAAUUAACUUCUCAAACCUGUUAGCCUCAGAAUAAUGAAAAGCCCUCUCGGUCUGAGGACUCUUCCCUCAGCCUGUUACUAUUGUAAAAGACCAAGACACCUUAAACAGGACUGCUUUAGGUGGAAGUGGAAGCCACAGCAGGAGGAUACAACUCAGGAAGACUAGGGGUGCUCUGAGGAAGUUAAAGGGUUUCACCUCUCCCAGUAUUCUACCUUGACAAAUUGGGAAAGAUUAAUAUAAUCAUAACGUGAGCUCUCCAUUGCCUUACUUGACAUAGGAGCAACUAUAUCUGUCAUAAAUCCCACCUGCUUUAGAAACCAUGUUCCUCAGAGUAAUAAAAGGACUAGCAUGAUGGGUGUGUCUAAGAAAACUAUCUCAUGCUUUAAAUCCAAACCUAUACCUUACCGUUUUGUCAGGUUUAGCACCCCCUCAAUCAAGGGCCCUAAAUACAACAGUCAGUCAGUCCCAUGUGUUCCUAAUAUGCUGGGUAAGUGUCUGUUUUGUGGACCAGCCUUCUCUUUGUUCAGUUUCCAGAGUCAAGACUAGGAGAAAAUACUAGAAAAGUCUUUUUUGGUCAAGGCAUCAAGUCACAUUCCCUACUCAUCGUCUAAAGGUGAGCCUGCCGCAUUAUCACGGAUGCUGUGAUGGGCAGGUGUGUUCGUAGUCCUCUGAAAAUAGUGGAUUUCUUACGUGUGAGGUUCCUUGGCUGUGACCAACACAUGGCAGGUGCACCUUCCAUCUGGCUGCUCUGUUUUGUGCAGUGAGACUUGGAAGGAGUGUGGGGGACCAAGGAGAAUGAACAUGCACAUGAAGCCCAUCCUGGCUGCUGUGCCACGAGAAAGCUGACCUCAGGUGAUCCACCUGCCUUGGCCUCCCGAAGUGUUGGGAUUACAGGUGUGAGCCACGAUGCCAGGCCUGUAGAGCUCCUCUUUAGAAACUGUGUGCAGAGGGCAGGGCACAGUGGCUCAUGCCUGUUAUCCCAGCACUUUGCAAGGCUGAGAUGAGAGGACUGCUUGAGGCCAGCCUGGGCAACAUAGAGAGACCUUAAAAAUACAAAAAAUUAGCCAGGCGUGGUGGCGGGUGCCUGUAGUCCCAGCUACUCUGGAGGCUGAGGCAGGAGAAUGGUGUGAACCCGGGAGGCAGAGCUUGUGAGUAGCUGGGAUUACAGGCAUGUGCCACCACACCUGGCUAAUUUUUGUAUUUUUAGUCGAGAUGGGGUUUUACCAUGUUGGCCAGACUGGUCUCGAACUCCUGACCUCAGGUGAUCUGCCAACCUCAGCCUCCCAAAGUGCUGGGAUUACAGGCAUGAGCCACCACGCCUGGCUCUCUUUUUUUGAGACAAGGUUUCACUUUGUUGCCAAGGCUGGAGUGCAAUGGAGCAAUCUCGGCUCACUGUAACCUCUGCCUCCUGGGUUCAAGUGAUUCUCCUGCCUUAGCCUCCUGAGUAGCUGAGACGAGAGGUGCACACCACCAAGCUCGGCUAAUUUUGUAUUUUUAGUAGAGACA